This 507-nucleotide ribosomal RNA is filed under the name Simulium rudnicki. Its description in RNAcentral is "eukaryotic LSU rRNA". It matches the Rfam family "Eukaryotic large subunit ribosomal RNA", at positions 286 to 647 of the family's 3401-position model. The record is from RNAcentral. Lineage: Eukaryota; Metazoa; Arthropoda; Insecta; Diptera; Simuliidae.
CACUAAGCGGGAGGUAAACUCCUUCUAAGACUAAAUAUUGCCAUGAGACCGAUAGCGAACAAGUACCGUGAGGGAAAGUUGAAAAGCACUCUGAAUAGAGAGUCAAAAAGUACGUGAAACUGUCUAGGGUUAAGAAAGCAUGAAGUGUCUAAAUAUCUGAAUGGAGAAAUUCAGUAUCAUAUUGUUGUAGUAAUAUUAUUUUACGAAGCAUAUGGUGUGCACUUUUCUCCUUGUAAGACACUGCGAUCCAUUAGAACCUUGUGUUAAUAACUACCAUGUUGUGAGUUAUUAUAUCUAUCAAUGGGCCUGGCAUGGAGCUUACAUAUUUAAUGUUAGUACUAUAUAUUGUUAAGGUGAUAUACAGGAAAGCAAUGUAAACUGCUGGUGUCUCGUAUAGAUGUCUGAUGGAUUUUAAGCGAUCACAAUAUGACAUCCUUGUGGUGUAACCAGUAAUGGUUUAUUGUAUUGUGUCGGAUCAGCAGUGUAUUUGUUUAGUAAUCUUCAUGA